This 88-nucleotide transfer RNA is filed under the name compost metagenome. RNAcentral's name for it is "tRNA-Phe". The record is from RNAcentral.
GCACCCGUGGCCAGGAAGACAAAGCGACUGAAAUUCGCUUGGCUCUCGGCAUUGUGCCGGGAACUCGGUUCUGAUCGGAAUAGGCGCG